GACGAACGCUGGCGGCGUGCCUAAUACAUGCAAGUAGAACGCUGAAGGAGGAGCUUGCUUCUCUGGAUGAGUUGCGAACGGGUGAGUAACGCGUAGGUAACCUGCCUGGUAGCGGGGGAUAACUAUUGGAAACGAUAGCUAAUACCGCAUAAGAGUAGAUGUUGCAUGACAUUUGCUUAAAAGGUGCAAUUGCAUCACUACCAGAUGGACCUGCGUUGUAUUAGCUAGUUGGUGGGGUAACGGCUCACCAAGGCGACGAUACAUAGCCGAGCUGAGAGGGUGAUCGGCCACACUGGGACUGAGACACGGCCCAGACUCCUACGGGAGGCAGCAGUAGGGAAUCUUCGGCAAUGGACGGAAGUCUGACCGAGCAACGCCGCGUGAGUGAAGAAGGUUUUCGGAUCGUAAAGCUCUGUUGUAAGAGAAGAACGAGUGUGAGAGUGGAAAGUUCACACUGUGACGGUAUCUUACCAGAAAGGGACGGCUAACUACGUG
Molecule: ribosomal RNA, 495 nt
Filed under: uncultured bacterium
Lineage: Bacteria
Description: partial 16S ribosomal RNA
Rfam family: Bacterial small subunit ribosomal RNA
Source: RNAcentral